UACGUAGGGGGCUAGCGUUGUUCGGAAUUACUGGGCGUAAAGCGCGCGCAGGCGGGUCCUCAAGUCAGGGGUGAAAGCCCAGGGCUCAACUCUGGAACUGCCCUUGAAACUGGUGACCUUGAGUACGGGAGAGGUGAGUGGAAUUCCCAGUGUAGAGGUGAAAUGCGUAGAUAUGGGGAAGAACACCGGUGGCGAAGGCGGCUCACUGGCCCGUAACUGACGCUGAGGCGCGAUAGCGUGGGGAGCAAACAGG
This 253-nucleotide ribosomal RNA is filed under the name uncultured bacterium. RNAcentral describes it as "partial 16S ribosomal RNA". It matches the Rfam family "Bacterial small subunit ribosomal RNA", at positions 524 to 776 of the family's 1533-position model. The record is from RNAcentral.